Actinomortierella wolfii is the source of this 72-nucleotide non-coding RNA. The record is from the annotation of a GenBank genome assembly. NCBI's taxonomy places the organism in Eukaryota, Fungi, Mortierellomycota, Mortierellomycetes, Mortierellales, Mortierellaceae.
AAGAUAAUAGCUUAAUGGUAAAGCAUUCUGCUCAUAACGGAAGUGAUGGAAGUUCGACUCUUCCUUGUCUUA